RNAcentral lists this ribosomal RNA (866 nucleotides) under Staphylococcus sp. 37-1pA. Its description in RNAcentral is "bacterial SSU rRNA". It matches the Rfam family "Bacterial small subunit ribosomal RNA", at positions 45 to 897 of the family's 1533-position model. The record is from RNAcentral. Lineage: Bacteria; Bacillati; Bacillota; Bacilli; Caryophanales; Staphylococcaceae.
UGCUAUACUGCAGUCGAGCGACAGAUAAGGAGCUUGCUCCUUUGACGUUAGCGGCGGACGGGUGAGUAACACGUGGAUAACCUACCUAUAAGACUGGGAUAACUUCGGGAAACCGGAGCUAAUACCGGAUAACAUAUUGAACCGCAUGGUUCAAUAGUGAAAGGCGGCUUUGCUGUCACUUAUAGAUGGAUCCGCGCCGUAUUAGCUAGUUGGUAAGGUAACGGCUUACCAAGGCAACGAUACGUAGCCGACCUGAGAGGGUGAUCGGCCACACUGGAACUGAGACACGGUCCAGACUCCUACGGGAGGCAGCAGUAGGGAAUCUUCCGCAAUGGGCGAAAGCCUGACGGAGCAACGCCGCGUGAGUGAUGAAGGUCUUCGGAUCGUAAAACUCUGUUAUCAGGGAAGAACAAAUGUGUAAGUAACUGUGCACAUCUUGACGGUACCUGAUCAGAAAGCCACGGCUAACUACGUGCCAGCAGCCGCGGUAAUACGUAGGUGGCAAGCGUUAUCCGGAAUUAUUGGGCGUAAAGCGCGCGUAGGCGGUUUUUUAAGUCUGAUGUGAAAGCCCACGGCUCAACCGUGGAGGGUCAUUGGAAACUGGAAAACUUGAGUGCAGAAGAGGAAAGUGGAAUUCCAUGUGUAGCGGUGAAAUGCGCAGAGAUAUGGAGGAACACCAGUGGCGAAGGCGACUUUCUGGUCUGUAACUGACGCUGAUGUGCGAAAGCGUGGGGAUCAAACAGGAUUAGAUACCCUGGUAGUCCACGCCGUAAACGAUGAGUGCUAAGUGUUAGGGGGUUUCCGCCCCUUAGUGCUGCAGCUAACGCAUUAAGCACUCCGCCUGGGGAGUACGACCGCAAGGUUAA